This 371-nucleotide long non-coding RNA is filed under the name Nicotiana benthamiana. RNAcentral describes it as "long non-coding RNA (NBEN_LNC024557)". The record is from RNAcentral. Lineage: Eukaryota; Viridiplantae; Streptophyta; Magnoliopsida; Solanales; Solanaceae.
CUAACCUUUCCCCUCCAAAUAUUUGUGGGUCUCCUCAACCAUACUAAUCUAGUCAAGCAUCAGUCAGUAUCAACCAUAAAUAAAAUCCAAAAGAUGUAGAAAAGAUUAGCUUAGACAUUAAACCAUUUGAGUCCCUGAAACAGAAAAGAAAAAGAAGAGAGCUCUCUUUCUCAUGAUUUGAUGGAAGAGAAAGAGAACGGUCGAUGGCGGUGACUGCGGCAGCUUAGCCAUGAGUAACGAAGAGGAAUAUCUAAUUAUUAUUAAAUCAACUUCUGAAUAUAGUAGAGAGUUUGCCUACUUUUGGUCUGAAAGAUCACAUUUUUUGUAAUAAAAAUUGGUGCCUAAGAACUUGGGGACAAGUGAAUUUUUUU